Molecule: long non-coding RNA, 1507 nt
Organism: Neofelis nebulosa (Clouded leopard)
Lineage: Eukaryota; Metazoa; Chordata; Mammalia; Carnivora; Felidae
Exons: 2
Source: RefSeq, a predicted model, not a curated record
UUGGUUAAGCGUCCGACUUCGGCUCAGGUCAUGAUCUCACGGUCCGUGAGUUCGAGCCCCGCGUCGGGCUCUGUGCUGACAGCUCAGAGCCUGGAGCCUGCUUCCGAUUCUGUGUCUCCCUCUCUCUCUCUGACCCUCCCCCAUUCAUGCUCUGUCUCUCUGUCUCAAAAAUAAAUAAACGUUAAAAAAAAUUAAAAAAAAAAGAAAGACGAUAUUUAAAAUAAAUUUUUUGAGCAAGGAUUUCUUCUUAUUACAAGACCAAGAUAGUAUGUAGUACUCUCCAAGAUAACCCAGUUACAAAGCAAUUCUUUGAAGGAUCUAAUGCUAUACGCUACAAGACUCUUGAAAUAUUACAUUAUUUUUUGGCAGAUUGCUUUGGUUUUGUAAUUGUAAAAGAGGAACAUGUCUUUCACAAUCACGUAAACUGUGAUGUUAAGUUAAAAAAAAAAACUUGAGUCACACUGAGAGGUUGACCAUCAAAAAGUAUAAAAAUAUAACUGGAAAUAGUGAGUAGGUCCUAUAAUUUGUUUCAUUGCUGGGAAGUCUUAUUUUUUUAACCUUUCAAUUAGGAAAAAUAGUUUGCAAUUCAAAGAUAGAGUUUUAUUAUUUCAGCCACCUUUUCGUUACAUAUGUCUGUUAACAGGGACCCUUCCAAAAUAGCCCGGGGUAGACUUUAUCCCAGGGACUAAGAAGGUGAAUAAAACGAGCCACGUGAAGCGGAAGACAAGGUAAAGGAAUAAACAUGUUGCACAUUUACGGACCGAUGAUGGUCUGGAAGCCAUUUGUAAGAACACAACAAAAUUGUGGCAAUUUGGCGACCGCAAUUGGGCACUCUGCUUGUAAUGAAGGCCAAAGCGUACAUCUUUAGUGUUAGAAGAGGAAGCCAUGUGGAGGACGAAAUAAACAAUAUGUAACUAGAGGUUCUAGAAAAAUACGAGCCUUCCAAAAUUCUGGCCUGGGACUUCGCAGGAAGGGCGAAUGAGGUGCUUCUGCAUCCAUCACCGCACUAAACCCCCAAUGAGCCGCUCUAACGAAACUGUAUUCACCAACUCUUGAAAGCGGCACCUGUGUCUCCCAUCACCUCGGAAGGACGCACACUGCAACGUGGAAUACGCUGCCUCGCUAGAAGCAAAACUGGCAAUUCCGUUUCCAAACUUAGCGGUGGCUAAAGGACAGAAACACAAAGAUUUGCCAUGUGGUGCUGGGGCCUUGAUGACGGCGCAGCACAGAGUUCCUGAGACACCAUGCAUGAACACCCGACCCCGGAAUUCUGCUUUGAAACGCUAACAAAAUUGGGGCUCCAGGGUGGCUCAGUUGGUUGAGGGUCUGACUUCAGCUCAGGUCACGAUUUCACAGCUCGUGAGUUCGAGCCCCCCGUUGGGCUCUGGGCUGACGGCUCGGAGCCUGGAGCCUGCUUCCCAUUCUGUGUCUCCCUCUCUCUCUGCCCCUAACCCACUCGCGUUCUGUCUCUGUCUCUCUCAAAAAUAAAUAAGCAUUAAAAAAAAAA